AGAGAAUCCAACCAACAUUUUUAGAAACAAUUUGCAUGGUGGGUCUCAUGUGGCAGCAAGCAUUGGUACUUCAAAGCACUGAGCACUUCAGCUUUUGCCAGAGCUGACUCACAUGUCAGUCUCCUCUGUCACAGGCAGCGGCAAGUGACUUUAAUCACCCCGGCAAGUGACUUUAAUCACCCUGGCUGUCACUUGGAUGCGGAGAGCCGCCCUGGCUCAGGAAUCAAGCGCUGCACACAGCGAGACUGCACAGCCCCCGAGAGUUAUCUGGACACAGAAAGGUUUCUGUUCACGGACAGACUGCAUGACCUAGACAGGAAGCCUGGACCAGAGCACAGUUAGGCUGUGUCUGAGGAGAAACCAUGCCCAGCCCAUGCAGCAACCAGGCUGGCUGCAGAGAGAGCUGGCUCAGGGAAAACCAGCUCUGAAGAGGGCAGACGAAACAUGAGACAAGCCAGGAUGGAAACCUUGCCCGCUUUCUGACUAAAAUACAUCUUCUCCAGGAAUACAGCCUGAAGCUCAUCACAUAUAAAACACACUGGAAUUAAGAUAGUUCCAUGAACUCGACCUUGGAGGAAGUAAACUUGGCUCCAUUUAUGUUUCUCCCGAGCAUCUCCAGGAGAAGGCAGCAGCAGGAGGCUCCAUGUGUGCUGGAGAGGAGGCAGGGAUUUCUAACCAUGCUCUGCAGGCAAGGAAAAUACUGGAGGAAAAAUGACUUUGUUCUACUUGUACAGGACAGCAAAUAAAUAGUAGGGAAUAGA
Long non-coding RNA from Haemorhous mexicanus (house finch), 761 nucleotides. RefSeq lists it as uncharacterized. Lineage: Eukaryota; Metazoa; Chordata; Aves; Passeriformes; Fringillidae. The transcript is spliced from 2 exons. The record is from RefSeq and is a predicted model, not a curated record.